This 202-nucleotide unclassified non-coding RNA is filed under the name Hevea brasiliensis (rubber tree). Lineage: Eukaryota; Viridiplantae; Streptophyta; Magnoliopsida; Malpighiales; Euphorbiaceae. The record is from RNAcentral.
UUUCAAGAACCUUAUGUUUCUCCUAGACCCAGGUUUCGAUCCCUCUUGAAGAACGAGGAUGUUCGAGGAACGGUCGAAAGUGAUGACUUGGCCGUCGAAUUCUUCCCCUAAUGUGGUCUUGAUGGAGAGCAAGCAGCCCACCGCAAAGUCCUCGCUGCUGUUGCUACCUUCCAUGGCUGCCCCCUCUCUUGAUUCAGUUGCC